Molecule: ribosomal RNA, 468 nt
Filed under: uncultured bacterium
Lineage: Bacteria
Description: partial 16S ribosomal RNA
Rfam family: Bacterial small subunit ribosomal RNA
Source: RNAcentral
GACGAACGCUGGCGGCGUGCUUAACACAUGCAAGUCGAACGGAAAGGCCCUGCUUUUGUGGGGUGCUCGAGUGGCGAACGGGUGAGUAACACGUGAGUAUCCUGCCCUUGACUUUGGGAUAACUUCAGGAAACUGGGGCUAAUACCGGAUAGGAGCUCCUGCUGCAUGGUGGGGGUUGGAAAGUUUCGGCGGUUGGGGAUGGACUCGCGGCUUAUCAGCUUGUUGGUGGGGUAGUGGCUUACCAAGGCUUUGACGGGUAGCCGGCCUGAGGGGGUGACCGGCCACAUUGGGACUGAGAUACGGCCCAGACUCCUACGGGAGGCAGCAGUGGGGAAUAUUGCACAAUGGGCGGAAGCCUGAUGCAGCAACGCCGCGUGCGGGAUGACGGCCUUCGGGUUGUAAACCGCUUUCGCCUGUGACGAAGCGUGAGUGACGGUAAUGGGUAAAGAAGCACCGGCUAACUACGUG